Molecule: RNase P RNA, 446 nt
Filed under: Puniceibacterium sediminis
Lineage: Bacteria; Pseudomonadati; Pseudomonadota; Alphaproteobacteria; Rhodobacterales; Paracoccaceae
Description: Bacterial RNase P class A
Rfam family: Bacterial RNase P class A
About the family: Ribonuclease P (RNase P) is a ubiquitous endoribonuclease, found in archaea, bacteria and eukarya as well as chloroplasts and mitochondria. Its best characterised activity is the generation of mature 5'-ends of tRNAs by cleaving the 5'-leader elements of precursor-tRNAs.
Source: Rfam by way of RNAcentral
GCGGAGGGCUGGAUGGCCGCGAGAGGGCCUAGGCCCUUUCGAGGAAAGUCCGGACUCCAUGAAGUAACGGUGCCGGGUAACGCCCGGGCAGGGCAACCUGACGGAUAGCGCCACAGAAAACAAACUGCCCGUCGCACCCAAGGUGCGCCAAUGGUCCUACCAGAGGUACACCAAGGGAGACUGCGGCGGGUGAGGGUGAAACGGUGGGGUAAGAGCCCACCGGGGGACUGGCAACAGGACCCGCAUGGCAAGCCCCACCGGGAGCAAUGCCGAAUAGGGACCCCGCGCGGGAUUGAUCCUUUCGGGGAUAUCACUGCAGGGCCACUUCAGCCCAGGGGUCCGGGUUGGCAGCUUGAGCCACGCAGCAAUGCGUGGCCUAGAGGAAUGGUCAUCUACGGCAGGGCAACCUGUCGAGACAAAAUCCGGCUUAUAGGCUCUCCGCGCAA